UGGAGGAGCAGACAAGCCACAAUAGGUGCUCUCCCUACACUUCCUCAAUAUUUUGCCUAAUAUCUCGUGUUUUCUAAGUGUUUUGAUGUGUUUCUAGGCUCAGGCGUGUAGAUGGGAGCAGUAGAAGAAAGAAAAAAAGGAAGAAGAAAGGAAAAAUGGAAGUGGAAGAAGAGGAGGAGCCAAACCACAAUAUUUAGGGCACUGUCCCCAAGAAACCGUCCAGUGCGCUCGCCUCAAUUCCCGGCCUCCCCUUCGCAGCUCCUCCACCCGCCUGAUUUGACGUCACAUAAAAUGACAAAUGUCCGCAGAAAACGACACGCCGAUUUAUUUGAAGUGAAGGACAGAGAUUAAAACGGCCUUGAAAAACACCACACCUGUUUUGUCCACCGCCAUCACCACCUUCUCCCAGAUCAAGGACAAACUGUAUUACAGACUCACACAUAAGGAAGAGGUGCGUGUGAGUGUGUUUGGGUGUGUUUGGAUGCGUUUGGGUGUGUUUUGGGUCUGUUUGGGUGUGUUUUGAGGUGUUUU
This is a long non-coding RNA of Portunus trituberculatus (swimming crab), 531 nucleotides long. RefSeq lists it as uncharacterized. The transcript has 3 exons. Lineage: Eukaryota; Metazoa; Arthropoda; Malacostraca; Decapoda; Portunidae. The record is from RefSeq and is a predicted model, not a curated record.